This is a non-coding RNA of Podarcis lilfordi (Lilford's wall lizard), 84 nucleotides long. Lineage: Eukaryota; Metazoa; Chordata; Lepidosauria; Squamata; Lacertidae. The record is from the annotation of a GenBank genome assembly.
AUACGUCUAUACACAUCUAUACGUAUCUAUAAAUACGUAUAUGUAUAUAUAUAUAUAUAUAUGUGUGUGUGUGUGUGUGUGUAU